GUACCUGCGACAGCAUCCACUACCACCGUGCAUCUUGAGGCAACAUAACCAGGAACACACAAGGAGUGAAGGGACCUAAUAUUGGUACAAAGGAAAAAGGAAAAAGAAGAAGACCUCCCAUAAUUGUGAAGAAGAGCCGUCCUGGGCUCUUGGUCCUCUCCUUGGAAGGGGAAGUAAGAACCCGCAAGAAAACAACUUAGAUCUAAGGUAUGGUUGAGAAAUUCCUCUAAAU
Molecule: long non-coding RNA, 232 nt
Organism: Phragmites australis (common reed)
Lineage: Eukaryota; Viridiplantae; Streptophyta; Magnoliopsida; Poales; Poaceae
Exons: 3
Source: RefSeq, a predicted model, not a curated record